GAUGAAGAACGUAGCGAAAUGCGAUAACUAAUGUGAAUUGCAGAAUUCAGUGAACCAUCGAGUCUUUGAACGCACAUUGCGCCCCCUGGUAUUCCGGGGGGCAUGCCUGUCCGAGCGUCAUUGCUGCCCUCAAGCACGGCUUGUGUGUUGGGCUCCGUCCCCCCGGGGACGGGCCCGAAAGGCAGCGGCGGCACCGAGUCCGGUCCUCGAGCGUAUGGGGCUUUGUCACCCGCUCUGUAGGCCCGGCCGGCGCCAGCCGACAACCCAUCAUCCUUUUCAGGUUGACCUCGGAUCAGGUAGGGAUACCCGCUGAACUUAAGCAUAUCAAUAAGCGGAGGA
This 339-nucleotide unclassified non-coding RNA is filed under the name soil metagenome. RNAcentral's name for it is "partial contains 5.8S ribosomal RNA, internal transcribed spacer 2, and large subunit ribosomal RNA". The stretch from base 1 to 120 matches the Rfam family "5.8S ribosomal RNA", at positions 35 to 154 of the family's 154-position model. The record is from RNAcentral.